GGAUCUUUACAAAGUGUUCGUCAUGCAUGCGGCAUGCAUGCGUCGGAUUAUGCGCAGUGAAGAGAACAGGUAAUGGUCAUGCUGUUGGCUGCUUUGCUGAGGAAAAGGGCCCUUGAUAGCCAGAUGAGACAUUUAUGGAACAAUCAGGACAAAAGAUGCCGUUUGUGUCAUUACAAAAGGAUUCUUUACACUUUACCUAUUGUCACUUCCAUUGCUUAUAACUGAGCUGCUGCAGUGCAUUAUGGGAUUCCCUUCUCUGCGAAGGAUGUCAGGUCUUUCUGUCGCUGGAGCCCACACAAGGGAUUCUGUGAAGCUGACUCCUCUGUAAAGCAUGUCCUCGCUCAACCACACAACAACAGGCGAAGGAGAAUUCCUGGCAUGCAGGCGAGUGGGAACGCUCAGUGUGAGCUAACGCAAGGUAGACGUGGAGAAUGCUGAGUGAAUGGCACCAUGUUGGAGGAAUGGUGGCCAGAAGCACAGAGAACGAGAUCACCCGGAUACUGCUCAUUCCUGCUCUGAUACUGUGCACUUGGGCUAUGUCGUCUUCCUUUGUUGUGCAGCAGUCUGUGCAUACAGUCAUGCGGUACUCAAACAGCAUGUGUGAUUGCCACCCAUCACAGAACAGCUAAUAUUCUGGUUUCUGUGGAGGAGAGGGGCCGUUUUGAGGUCCUGCAGUGCCCCACCUCUCUAUGGGGGACAGUGGAGGGCUUUGUUCCCCUCUCAUGCCUUGCAUUCCCCAUGCAGCCAGGCCCAUGUGCAAGGCAGAGUUCAUAGAGUGGGGACAGGAGCCUUUUCUCUUCUGCUAAAUCCAGCCCCAGGCACACCCAUUUAACACAAAAUGAACCUACGAUUCCGGGAUCCCUAUAAUUAAAUAAGAACAGCCUGAGACAAUGAGAGCAGAGUGGGAUGCUGUAAGGUGCUGGAUGGAUGUUUGGGUGGGGAUUAAUAUACGCCUGGCAGCAGGAGGCACAAAUAUUGUAUAAUAUCCUUUUGGCUUAGUGAGUAUGACACAGAAUCACACAUGAAUUUAGCUACUGAUUGUUGUUUUUUCAAAUAUCCGGUUCCCUACAUAUCAAUUAAUUUACAGUAAGGCCGGAGAUACUGAAAUCCUGAAGCUGCUUCAUUGUGUAAUACAAGACAGUUGAUACAGGAAGCUUAAAGUUGCAAUGAAUUGGAAGUGGCGACAAAUCUCUUCUUCUGUAUUGUAUACAAUCUUAAAAUAAAGAUUCUUUAUUUGCAUCUAUGGUUCCAUGAAAAAAAGGUUCUUUAUGGCAGAAAAUAGUUCCUCAGAUAAUUUAAAUGCUCUUCACACUGAGACAAAAAAGUUCUUAAAGGAUUAGUUCACUUCACAAUUAAAAAUUCCUGAAUUUACUCACCUCAAUGACAUCUAAGAUG
Long non-coding RNA from Megalobrama amblycephala (Wuchang bream), 1395 nucleotides. RefSeq lists it as uncharacterized. Lineage: Eukaryota; Metazoa; Chordata; Actinopteri; Cypriniformes; Xenocyprididae. The record is from RefSeq and is a predicted model, not a curated record. The transcript is spliced from 4 exons.